UGAUGAAGAUGACAAGAAGAAAGAGAAAGACAAGGAAAAGAAGAAGAAAACUAAGACGGCAAAGGAUGGUGAGGGUAGUUUAGGUGAAGAGCCAGAGGUAGAUAAUGAAGCUGGAGAGACUGAGAAAAAAGAAGAGAAAGAAGAUAAGAAAGUCAAGGGAAAAGAAGAGAAGAAAAAGAAGGAGAAAGAACAUGUGGAGGAGGCCAAGGAGGAAGAUGAGAAAAAGAAGAAAGAUAAGAAAGAGAAGAAGGAUAAGGAUAAAGUUUUAGAGGAAGAGGAAAAAGGGACAAGGGAAAUCAAAGAUAAAAGUUUGGGGAUUAAGGAACAGCAGGAUGAGAAGCAUGUGAAGGAGGGUAAGGAGAAGGAUGAAGAGAAGAAAAAAGACAAAAAAGUAAAGAAAGAGAAAGAAAAGAAGGUCAAAGAUGAAGAGAAGACAGGUGAGGGAUCUGUGGAAGAAACAGAAAAGAAGAAAGACAAGGAAAAAGAAGAUGAUGAUGGGGAGGAGAAGAAGAAAAAGAAAGAGAAGAAGAAAGAGAAGAAACACA
This 545-nucleotide long non-coding RNA is filed under the name Manihot esculenta (cassava). RNAcentral's name for it is "long non-coding RNA (MESC_LNC005040)". Lineage: Eukaryota; Viridiplantae; Streptophyta; Magnoliopsida; Malpighiales; Euphorbiaceae. The record is from RNAcentral.